Molecule: long non-coding RNA, 1972 nt
Organism: Pogona vitticeps (central bearded dragon)
Lineage: Eukaryota; Metazoa; Chordata; Lepidosauria; Squamata; Agamidae
Source: Ensembl
CAGGCUUUUAAUGCUAUUAUCUAAAUGGGAGGCUUGAACUGGGCUGGUGGAACGUUCUUGCAAGCACUCCAUAAAAACUCAGACCCAAACCUCUUCUGUUCUGGCAAGACUUCCCUUCCGCCAGAGGCCGCCCAAGACAUUUUGCUGCCCGAGGGAUGAUAGUCAAUGUGCCUUCCCUGACACCCCCCACAAAAUGGCCUCCAAGGCAACUCUGCCUUGAUACGGACCACGGCUGGACGCCACGCCCUCUUCGGGUAAAGGGCUGUUCCCUCCUUCCUCCCUUGCCCCAGAGGUCCAUUUCCAGGCCUUCUGCCAAGCAGGCCUGGCCCUUGCGCUCCUACCCCCCCCCGCCCAGAGGGAAAUGCAAAGCCAGGUCUCCCACCUUCUGUCUUCCUGCACUCUAACCCUCUGACAGCACUGCCUCCUCGGUUUCCUCCAAUGUCAUGGUUAGCAGGCUUCCCGCCUCUAUUGCAGGGUCUCCCUCCUCCUCAAAGGAUGGGACGCUUCUCAACUUCAUUUCUCGACAGGAGGAGCUUAAAGAUGAAAGAAGGGAGCAACGGAAUUUUUCCCCCCCACCCCGCCCCCCAGUCACUGCAUUGCUGAUUUGUUCCUCCCCACUUUUGGAGCGCCAUCCCUUCCCUAUCCCACAGAAAUGGAAAGCCCACCGAACAAGGAACAGCCCCCAUCCCUGUUCCAGGAAACGACACUUCCCUGGCUGGGACUCCACUCCGUGGCUACACAUUGUCAUGAUUAGGAUAACCCGCCUCUCUAAGGCACCUUCUUGGUGGAGAGAGCGUGUGUCGUUCUGGGGCAUGCACAGAGUGCCUCUUCCUGGCACACACACACACACACCCCGGUAUGACAGCCAGUGGACCCAAUAGGUCGGGAGACCAAAGCUAUCCUGACUAAUUAGCUUUCCAGGUUCCCUCUUAUGUAAGUAAAUGGGCCAUUUAGCCCCCUGUGGCCGGCCAGCAGCCCUUUCCUCCUCAGGAGGAAGCGAAGGGACUCCCACCAAGGCCAGGCUUAGGAAGACUGAGCCGUCCGAGACCUUUUGGGCAGGCUUUGUGGUACCUGCUCUGACGAAAGAUGAGUUUGAAGCGAAGGGUUCAGCGACAGGAGGUCAGGAGGGAGACGUGCGCUGGCGCUUGCAGACGGACCUCGGCCUGUUUGGUCAGCCUCUGCAGCCUCGAAAGUGUCCAGUCGCUGAAUUCCGCGUCCUAGAUUGCCAGCACCUUCGUUUCUCCCUGUUCCCUUUUCAGGACUGCGCGCGCUUUGUCCUCUGGCAGCAACGGCGGCGACGGGGCCGGAUCUCCUCCACGCCAAGGGCCUGCCAGGCCCCCGCAUUGCGGCCGCUCCCGCCAUCCCAGCAGGACACGGGGCAUCGGGCACACCCGCAGACGGCGUUGGUUCCUUUGGGUGCUGGAGAUCACCCUUCAGCUGCGGGUCACCCCACCAGGAUCACAGUCGGCGGCCCCACCAGACCAUGCCUUGGCCUGUCCCCUUCGAGGCACCUCGUUUCAGGCCAGGACUUGACAGCAUCGUGGGCCACCGUUAUCCAAGCUGACGCAGUGAGUGUCCACACUGGAUGUGGGGCAGCCUUCAGAGCUGCCAGGAUUUAACCUGCUGCCUGCUAGCUGGAGACUCUCCCUGUGGCUUUUCCCAUUCCAGGUCAGGGAGGGCCACAGAGUGGCCACCCCAUCCCCCAGAUUUACAGCCCUCAAAGGCCAGGCCAUGGCGGGGGGGCUGCUUGGCUGCCCUGCGGACCCUUGGCUAAACCUUCCUCCCACACGUUCCACCUUGUGGGGCCGCCUGAGUUUCCCUGGAGCUGAAAGGGGCCUUGGUUGUCCUACUGAGGUCAGAGGGCAGGACUUGGGCUUUGGUGGGGGGCACUCUGGGGUCAGGCCCCCUCCGGUCCCCACGGGAGGAACUCCCAGUACACAGCCUUGAGCAAGUUGGAGGUGAGAAUUUUAGC